GAUGAACGCUGGCGGCGUGCCUAAUACAUGCAAGUCGAGCGAACAGACGAGGAUCUUGCUCCUCUUACGUUAGCGGCGGACGGGUGAGUAACACGUGGAUAACCUACCUAUAAGACUGGGAUAACUUCGGGAAACCGGAGCUAAUACCGGAUAAUAUAUUGAACCGCAUGGUUCUAUAGUGAAAGACGGUUUUGCUGUCACUUAUAGAUGGAUCCUCGCCGCAUUAGCUAGUUUGUAAGGUAACGGCUUACCAAGGCAACGAAGCGUAGCCGACCGGAGAGGAUGGUCAGCCACACUGGAAGGGCGACAGGCCACAAGCGGAUUGAGACACGGCCAGUAGGCAAACGUCAGCAAUGGGCGGGAAACAGACGACAAUGGGCCAAGAGUGUGAUGCAGGUAUUCGGUGCGUAAGACUAAGUUAUUCGGGAAGAAAAGAGCUGUAAGUAACUAAGAACGAAUUGACGGUACCAAAACAAGAAGCGACGGCUAAAUACGUG
Molecule: ribosomal RNA, 497 nt
Filed under: uncultured bacterium
Lineage: Bacteria
Description: partial 16S ribosomal RNA
Rfam family: Bacterial small subunit ribosomal RNA
Source: RNAcentral